This 484-nucleotide ribosomal RNA is filed under the name uncultured bacterium. RNAcentral's name for it is "SSU rRNA". It matches the Rfam family "Bacterial small subunit ribosomal RNA", at positions 26 to 518 of the family's 1533-position model. The record is from RNAcentral.
AGGACUAACGCUGGCGGCGUGCCUAACACAUGCAAGUCGAACGGACACCACUUUGUAGCAAUACAGAUGAAGUGUUAGUGGCAGACGGGUGAGUAACACGUAGUCAACCUGCCUUACCGCCCGGGAUAACUAGCCGAAAGGUUAGCUAAUACCUGAUACGAUCGUCGAGCGGCAUCGCUUGACGAUGAAAGCAGCAAUGCGCGGUUAGAGGGGGCUGCGGCCCAUUAGCUAGUUGGUGAGGUAAUGGCCCACCAAGGCAACGAUGGGUAGCUGGUCUGAGAGGACGACCAGCCACACUGGGACUGAGACACGGCCCCAGACUCCUACGGGAGGCAGCAGUGAGGAAUUUUCGGCAAUGGGGGAAACCCUGACCGAGCAACGCCGCGUGCAGGAGGAAGGUCUUCGGAUCGUAAACUGCUUUUCUCGGGGAAGAGAACGGACGGUACCGAGGAAUCAGCCCCGGCUAACUCGUGCCAGCAGCCGC